AUACUUAACUGGCAGGAGCAAUACCAUGAUCACCAAGGUAGUUUUCCCAGGGCUGGGCUUAUCCAUUGCACUCCAGAUGCACUGACUCCUGUGAUUUCCCCAAAUGUGGGAAACUGGACUGCCUAAUUUGUGGUAUCAGUGGACUGCAUUUAUGCUUUCCCCUA
This is a small nuclear RNA of Nycticebus coucang (slow loris), 164 nucleotides long. RefSeq annotates it as U1 spliceosomal RNA. NCBI's taxonomy places the organism in Eukaryota, Metazoa, Chordata, Mammalia, Primates, Lorisidae. The transcript has a single exon. The record is from RefSeq and is a predicted model, not a curated record.